CAUCAACGGAGUGUUGCUGUGGAUGAUACAUUGCGAAAGAAUGCCUCACAUCUAGUAAUUCAAGGAGUGAAAUCGUUUUCUGCAAUCGAAGUUAAAAACAAUGUUACGACCGACACCGUCAAUGAGCGUGAUUUUAGGGCAUGGUCGGAGAAAUUGAUUCUACAGAAAAGC
Molecule: long non-coding RNA, 171 nt
Organism: Daphnia magna
Lineage: Eukaryota; Metazoa; Arthropoda; Branchiopoda; Diplostraca; Daphniidae
Exons: 2
Source: RefSeq, a predicted model, not a curated record